GCUCACUUUGGUAGAACAUAUACUAAAAUUGGCAUGAUACAGAGGUUAGCAUGGCCUGUGUGUUAGGAUGACAUGCAAAUUUGUGAAGUCUUCCUUGUUAAA
Small nuclear RNA from Phyllostomus hastatus (greater spear-nosed bat), 102 nucleotides. NCBI's taxonomy places the organism in Eukaryota, Metazoa, Chordata, Mammalia, Chiroptera, Phyllostomidae. The record is from RefSeq and is a predicted model, not a curated record.